Molecule: ribosomal RNA, 253 nt
Filed under: uncultured bacterium
Lineage: Bacteria
Description: partial 16S ribosomal RNA
Rfam family: Bacterial small subunit ribosomal RNA
Source: RNAcentral
UACGUAGGCAGCGAGCGUUGUUCGGAAUCACUGGGCGUAAAGCGUUUGUAGGUGGCUUUGUAAGUUGAAUGUGAAAGCCCAGGGCCUAACCCUGGAAGUGCAUUCAAUACUGCAAAGCUUGAGUAUGGGAGAGGAAGAUGGAAUUCCUGGUGUAGUGGUGAAAUACGUAGAUAUCAGGAGGAACAUCGGUGGCGAAAGCGGUCUUCUGGCCUAAUACUGACACUGAAAAACGAAAGCGUGGGGAUCAAACAGG